Molecule: transfer RNA, 130 nt
Filed under: Sclerotinia borealis F-4128
Lineage: Eukaryota; Fungi; Ascomycota; Leotiomycetes; Helotiales; Sclerotiniaceae
Rfam family: tRNA
About the family: Transfer RNA (tRNA) molecules are approximately 80 nucleotides in length.
Source: Rfam by way of RNAcentral
GGCGUCGUGACGGAGUGGUUAACGUGAUUGACUCGAAUUCUCAGUUAUUCUCUCUCCACGUGAAGAGGAUAAUAAAUAAAUUAUAUAUCAAUUCCUUUCGGGGGCGCAUGUUCGAAUCAUGCCGACGUCG